RNAcentral lists this ribosomal RNA (152 nucleotides) under Helicobacter pylori E48. RNAcentral describes it as "partial 16S ribosomal RNA". It matches the Rfam family "Bacterial small subunit ribosomal RNA", at positions 1 to 144 of the family's 1533-position model. Lineage: Bacteria; Pseudomonadati; Campylobacterota; Epsilonproteobacteria; Campylobacterales; Helicobacteraceae. The record is from RNAcentral.
UUUUAUGGAGAGUUUGAUCCUGGCUCAGAGUGAACGCUGGCGGCGUGCCUAAUACAUGCAAGUCGAACGAUGAAGCUUUCUAGCUUGCUAGAAGGCCGAUUAGUGGCGCACGGGUGAGUAACGCAUAGGUCAUGUGCCUCUUAGUUUGGGAU